ACUCCUACGGGAGGCAGCAGUAAGGAAUAUUGGUCAAUGGACGCAAGUCUGAACCAGCCAUGCCUCGUGAAGGAUGAAGGUCCUCUGGAUUGUAAACUUCUUUUAUAUGGGGCGAAACAGCGGAUUUCUAUCUGCCUUGACGGCACCAUAUGAAUAAGCACCGGCUAACUCCGUGCCAGCAGCCGCGGUAAUACGGAGGGUGCAAGCGUUAUCCGGAUUCACUGGGUUUAAAGGGUGCGUAGGCGGGCAUGUAAGUCAGUGGUGAAAUCCUGGAGCUUAACUCCAGAACUGCCAUUGAUACUAUAUGUCUUGAAUUUCCUGGAGGUUAGCGGAAUAUGUCAUGUAGCGGUGAAAUGCUUAGAUAUGACAUAGAACACCUAUUGCGAAGGCAGCUGACUACGGGUAGAUUGACGCUGAGGCACGAAAGCGUGGGGAUCAAACAGGAUUAGAUACCCUGGUAGGAUAGCGU
RNAcentral lists this ribosomal RNA (469 nucleotides) under uncultured bacterium. RNAcentral describes it as "bacterial SSU rRNA". It matches the Rfam family "Bacterial small subunit ribosomal RNA", at positions 335 to 800 of the family's 1533-position model. The record is from RNAcentral.